Long non-coding RNA from Pseudophryne corroboree (corroboree frog), 1015 nucleotides. RefSeq lists it as uncharacterized. The transcript is spliced from 3 exons. NCBI's taxonomy places the organism in Eukaryota, Metazoa, Chordata, Amphibia, Anura, Myobatrachidae. The record is from RefSeq and is a predicted model, not a curated record.
GAAACGUUUAAUCUGCUCAACCCAUCUGUGCUGUGCAUUUCUCCAGCUCUCCCUGAGAGAGAGGCGCCUCCAAUCUCCACAUUGCCUUUAAUAUUCUCCUAAAUCACAUCAGCCGCGCGCUGGAAGGGCUAUUGCUGGCGUAUCACAGGUUCAUGUAAAGUGCACAGGGAGGGGGACAGGGAGACGCGGAUAAUUUCUAUUUAUUAGAGAAAUAUCUAAGUCUCGUCUUCUUGGCCCUCCGCAGAACUGCUGCCGAGCGCUCACAGCUCCUGAUUAAGCUUUCUCGUUACCAGAUGGGUGGAAGUGAAGGGUGUCGUAAUUUGUAUUUUUUGUUAAUUAGCUUUGCUGUGUGAUCUGCUGCUACAGGGGAUAGAUACUGUGCUGCCUUCCAUCUCAUGGCACCGGCUGGGGCACUGACAGGAGGCAUCUUCCAAACCACUCUCUCCCACCAUUCACAAGGUGACUUUGUGCAGUGUGACCGGACCCCCCCAAUUCCUCCCCUCUUGUAGGGUCUGGAUAUGGAGGGGCUGCAUUCCUCUAUCUGGGAAUAAUUUAAUCCUAACACGGAGAGGGUGACAGAUAGAACCCGCCAGCCAAGGCUGCAGCCUGUUGGCGUGUUACCUCAUCUGCACACGUGUAUCUAUGGUAACAGCUUCUAGCUUCAUUUCCUGCGUCCCCUAGAGGGGUGUCACAGUCAGAUCCACCUGCUUCUCACCCUCCCCGCUCCGGGGUCAUGUUAAGGUCGGCACAAUAAAUGAAUGAAAAUAAUAUAUCCUGUGGACCUAUCAUGAAGCCUAAAUUAGGGCCCCAGUCAACAGGUAAAUGGGAUACAGAACCAGAGGAACAUGGCAAUAAAGCAAUUCUAGCAGCUAGGAAAACUUGAGGACCCCAAUACAUGUGCUUUAGGGCCUUUGCCAAAAAUGUUACAUAAACCCUUUGAAACACCGCUGGCAAUUGCAAAGAAACGUGGAGUUUACACAUGACAGAUGGACAGAAAUUAGAACGGCAAAAUAAA